CGGUGAUGAACACAUUUAAGCAGGGGUGUAAGCAGCUCUCAGUUGAAUGGAGUCAGAGCUCCAUCUACUGGGCAAAUGGUUCAAGGACAUUUUACAUUGCCGACACAAACGUUAUUUCAGUAAUUGUUCUGUUCAUGAGAAAUUAUCAGCGUUCUGUCGGCAAAAAUUUUGGCCGAUAGGGAGUACUUUGAAAAGGGCUUAUAUCAGCCGAUAAUAUUGGUCGGGCUCUAAAAAUUUCCAAUACAACCUGCGGAGUUUUCCGAUCCAGGAGCCAUGUCUGUUUUUUUUUGUUUUUUUUUCCCUGCUGAAACGUCUCCAGAAGGAAUUUCCUGCUGGUUGCCUCUGGCUGCAAACCACAGAAGAGACCUCCCGAAUGGAGGUGUGCCCUAAUGAGACAUGAAGCAAUGAGACACGCCUCUGUUCAGGAAAUCCUCCCCACAGCCUGCAUCUAGCGAGUAGGCGAGCCUUAAUAUAAGCAGCACUGGAGCUGGCGAACUUUUCAUCACAUGUCCGCUGUGUGGAACACCGCAAAGCAAGGCAGCAAUGUGCAAUGUUUGCAGAGCUGUUGUACCAAGAGGUGGAAGCUACAAUACAGCAAACUUAAACAUUUGAAAAAGCGCCACAUUAAAGACUGUGAGGAUUUUUUUAGCCAGGACCAGAAAGAUAAAAGGAGUCGAUUUAAAUGGGGUCCGCCUCCCAUGUCUGUCCAGUUGGCCAAAAAUCCAGGGCUCUGGCCUUGUGGCCAGAGAAUCCUUUAAAUGGAAUGUGAGGUUUACUGACUACUAUUGCACAGCGAUUCCUGCUGGCCUCUGUCACAUAUCCACUAUAAUUAAAAGCUGGUGAGUUUAUAGGGAUUUCCAUCCUUUAAAUUCUUAAGUUUUUUUUAUGUUAUAAAAGAACACAACAUGUGCUGUCAGGUGACAGUUUGAUCAGCCAGAUGUGUACAGACAGCAAAGACCACACUGUCACUUUGUGUUUGAUCACUUUGAGAAAUUAAAUAGCUUAUUCUGAAUUAACAAAACUCACCUUUGUGCAAGAACAUAUGGAGGAAUAAAAGUGCCAAAAUUUAAUAAAUAAAUUCGUCAUUAAAUAAUUACUUAAAUGUGUCAUUAAUUCAUUAAAAUUGGAAUUAAAUAUAUAAAUAAUAAUUUCACUAUUUUAUUAUUUCAUGGUCAAAAACAUGUAAUUAUUUCACCAUUUAAUUAAUUACUUCAUGGUCCUUGUGUUGCAGUGCAUCAUGAAUUUAUUUUAUCUGUCAAAGUUGGCCAUCAAAGUCAGUGGGCGGAUUUCUAACACCUGAUUGGUUACCCUGCACAUCAAGUCACUGCAAAUUUAUUCCAGAUAAUGGAUUGAUGUAGAGCUAGUGAACACAUUCCUAUACACUGGGUGGGGCUAUUCACCUCUACGAUGGUUUAGAUACUCAAAUUAACUUUAUUUGCAACCACUAAAAGGCAAGGUCCUGCUGGCCCCAGUGUGCGAGAGCGUGCCGUGCUGCUCUGCAGUUCCAGCAAACGGGCAAUUCCCAGGUUUGUUGGCAACGAAGAAUUAAACUGAGUGCAGAAGGAACUGUGGAAUCGAGAUUAAUAGGGGGAAACAGCAUGGGUUGGUGACCAAAAACAUGACCAACAUAACCGGUGGAAACUGAGGGUAAACUGUUAUGAGCAAGUUUGACCCAAGGAAGCUGUUCUGACCAUGAUGCGGGAUGGCAGGAUGCGAGAAUCUGGAGCCCCUUUUCCAGUUCCUGGUUAAGCCGUUCCGUCUGCCCAUUGGCCUGUGGAUGGUAGCCCGAAGUGAGACUACAUGUUACCCCGAGGAGACGGCAGAACUCCCUCCAGAAAUGAGAUGCAAAUUGUCGACCCCGAUCAGAAACAGUGUCUUGCGGCAACCCGUGUAAUUUGAAAACCUGGUUUAACAUAACUUCAGCGGUCUCUUUAGCGGAUGGUAAUUUUCUCAAUGGUAUGAAAUGGACCAUUCUGGAGAGACAAUCUACAACAGUCAUAACUACAGUGUACCCUUUUGAGGAUGGAAAACCGCUCACAAAGUCCAACGUGAUGUGGGUCCAUGGGCGAGCCGGGACAGGCAACGGCAACAAGGCACCUGCAGGUGGACAGUUAGAAGAUUUGUGCAUGGCACACACUUGACCAUGGCACGCACUUGACGGGCAGUGAUGUAUUCAGUGACAUCCCUCGCGAGACCAGCUGUACCUCAGCUUUCACUCAUUCCUGAGUGACAGAAGUGUCCUAAAGAAAUAGGUGAGAGCUUAGAACGUGACGAUCGCUCUGCUCUGACUGUGGAGAAGCCGCUGUGUGAGGACGAAGUGGUGACUACAGCCGAUCCAGCUGCGACAACACAACACGGAACACCUUUCGGCUCCUCAGCCAGGUGCAGUGGAUGCUGCCGACAGCAGCUGGGGCUGAAGUAAAGGAGCUGGUUAUGAAGAUUAAACCACCCUUCAAGAUGACAGCACAGCUCAGCAAAGAAGAUUCUCUGAAAACCAGAGCAAUCACCUGACUUUGAAUCCUUGUGGAAGGGAGCCAUUUGCAGACUGAAGGAGUAUCGCAUCUGGGAACGCACUCUUCCUCUGAUCUUGUCUGGAACAGCCAACCAGCUGUGGACCAACUGCUGUGUGAUGACCAACUUCCAGGGAUAACUUGAUAUGAAAGUCUAUAUUCCUGCUGAAUAAAGCAUAAUUUUUUUUGUCUUCUU
Long non-coding RNA from Thalassophryne amazonica, 2706 nucleotides. RefSeq lists it as uncharacterized. The transcript is spliced from 3 exons. Lineage: Eukaryota; Metazoa; Chordata; Actinopteri; Batrachoidiformes; Batrachoididae. The record is from RefSeq and is a predicted model, not a curated record.